UGGGUACUUCCUCCGUUCCAUAAUUCUUGUCGAAAUAUUACAUGUAUCUAGACGUUUUUUUAGAAAUAGAUACAUCCAUUUUUAGGCAAAGUUGAGAUAAGAAUUAUGGAACGGAGGGAGUAUUAA
Brachypodium distachyon (stiff brome) is the source of this 126-nucleotide non-coding RNA. The record is from Rfam. Lineage: Eukaryota; Viridiplantae; Streptophyta; Magnoliopsida; Poales; Poaceae.